GGGGACGUAGCUCAGCUGGGAGAGCGCUAGCUUUGCAAGCUAGAAGUCGUGGGUUCGAGUCCCAUCGUCUCCA
This 73-nucleotide transfer RNA is filed under the name Sedimentisphaerales bacterium. Its description in RNAcentral is "tRNA-Ala". It matches the Rfam family "tRNA". Rfam says of the family: Transfer RNA (tRNA) molecules are approximately 80 nucleotides in length. Their secondary structure includes four short double-helical elements and three loops (D, anti-codon, and T loops). Further hydrogen bonds mediate the characteristic L-shaped molecular structure. tRNAs have two regions of fundamental functional importance: the anti-codon, which is responsible for specific mRNA codon recognition, and the 3' end, to which the tRNAs corresponding amino acid is attached (by aminoacyl-tRNA synthetases). tRNAs cope with the degeneracy of the genetic code in two manners: having more than one tRNA (with a specific anti-codon) for a particular amino acid; and 'wobble' base-pairing, i.e. permitting non-standard base-pairing at the 3rd anti-codon position. The record is from RNAcentral. Lineage: Bacteria; Pseudomonadati; Planctomycetota; Phycisphaerae; Sedimentisphaerales.